UACGUAGGGGGCGAGCGUUGUCCGGAUUUAUUGGGCGUAAAGAGCUCGUAGGCGGCUUGUCGCGUCAACUGUGAAAACCCGUGGCUCAACCAUGUGGUCUGCAGUCGAUACGGGCAGGCUAGAAUUCGGUAGGGGAGACUGGAAUUCCUGGUGUAGCGGUGAAAUGCGCAGAUAUCAGGAAGAACACCGGUGGCGAAGGCGGGUCUCUGGGCCGAUAUUGACGCUGAGGAGCGAAAGCGUGGGGAGCGAACAGG
This 254-nucleotide ribosomal RNA is filed under the name uncultured bacterium. RNAcentral's name for it is "partial 16S ribosomal RNA". It matches the Rfam family "Bacterial small subunit ribosomal RNA", at positions 524 to 776 of the family's 1533-position model. The record is from RNAcentral.